UACAGAGGUCUCAAGCGUUGUUCGGAUUCAUUGGGCGUAAAGGGUGCGUAGGCGGCGCGGUAAGUCGGGUGUGAAAUCUCGGGGCUUAACUCCGAAACUGCAUUCGAUACUGCCGUGCUUGAGGACUGGAGAGGAGACUGGAAUUUACGGUGUAGCGGUGAAAUGCGUAGAUAUCGUAAGGAAGACCAGUGGCGAAGGCGGGCUC
RNAcentral lists this ribosomal RNA (205 nucleotides) under uncultured bacterium. RNAcentral's name for it is "partial 16S ribosomal RNA". It matches the Rfam family "Bacterial small subunit ribosomal RNA", at positions 524 to 729 of the family's 1533-position model. The record is from RNAcentral.